Long non-coding RNA from Symsagittifera roscoffensis, 571 nucleotides. RefSeq lists it as uncharacterized. The record is from RefSeq and is a predicted model, not a curated record. Lineage: Eukaryota; Metazoa; Xenacoelomorpha; Acoela; Convolutidae. The transcript is spliced from 3 exons.
UCUCAACUUCACAAUUGUUGUGUAUAUCAAUUAUUGUGUUUUUAGUGGAUAUAAGAAAUUAAACUGAAGCAGACUCUUAAAGAAAGCAAAAAAUAUUUAAAAAAUUAAAAUGAAAUUCACGAGCUAUCGUCAUUUUGUUGUGCUAGUGUUGUCGCGAAUUGUUCUCAAUCAGCGUACUCAAUCAGCGUUCAGCAGUGGCGAAGCAAUGCAGACGAACAAUCUUCCAAAAAGUGACAGUGUUCAUGACAAGCGACUCUUUUGGUUCACAAAUGAGGCUACGAAAACAUGCGGCAAAUUACGCUCAUCCUGCCGCAGCUCAGGCGACUGCUGUGACAAGCUACAAUGUCUCUACUUCAUGCCAUUUUCAUCCUCAAGGCAGUGCAUAGCCGAAUCGUGAAUCAGCAGAGACGAAAAAAAAACAGAAAUCAGCCACCAUUCAAACCAUUUUUAAAACCUAAUGAUUGUGACCAAAAUUUAUUAAACUCAAAAAUCUAUGGUAAAGUUCAAGCUAAUUAUGUCAUGAUCUUGAGACAACUAACCACUGACUCUUACUGCUUUGGUUUCACACAAU